AGCGCCGAGAGAGCGAGUCGGCGCUACUGGCGCCGGGUCGGUCCGGGUAGGCGCAGCGGGACUGGACCUGGGUGCCGAGCGGAGCCGCUGCCAUGGGCCUGGGCGUCAGCGCUGAGCAGCCCGCAGGCGGCGCCGAGGGCUUCCACCUCCACGGGGUGCAGGAGAACUCCCCAGCCCAGCAGGCGGGCCUGGAGCCCUACUUUGACUUCAUCAUCACCAUUGGGCACUCGAGGCUGUGACCCUGCUGAGGGCUGCUGCCCACUAAGGCCCUUGCCCCAUCUCAGGCCCAGACUUGUCUGAGGGUCCUAGCCUGGGCAUGAGGUGGCCUUGGAGUCAGCCCCAUUGCCCCCACAGAACAAGGAGAAUGACACCCUGAAGGCACUACUGAAAGCCAAUGUGGAGAAGCCCGUGAAGCUGGAGGUGUUCAAUAUGAAGACCAUGAGGGUGCGCGAGGUGGAGGUGGUGCCCAGCAACAUGUGGGGCGGCCAGGGCCUACUGGGUGCCAGUGUGCGCUUCUGCAGCUUCCGCAGGGCCAGUGAGCAGGUGUGGCAUGUGCUG
This 558-nucleotide small RNA is filed under the name Pan troglodytes (chimpanzee). RNAcentral describes it as "processed transcript". The record is from RNAcentral. Lineage: Eukaryota; Metazoa; Chordata; Mammalia; Primates; Hominidae.